RNAcentral lists this ribosomal RNA (468 nucleotides) under uncultured bacterium. RNAcentral's name for it is "partial 16S ribosomal RNA". It matches the Rfam family "Bacterial small subunit ribosomal RNA", at positions 28 to 507 of the family's 1533-position model. The record is from RNAcentral.
GACGAACGCUGGCGGCGUGCUUAACACAUGCAAGUCGAACGGAAAGGCCCUGCUUUUGUUGGUUGCUCGAGUGGCGAACGGGGGUGUAACACGUGUGUAUCCUGCCCUUGUCUUUGGGAUAACUUCUGGAAACUCGGGCUAUUAUCCGAUAUGAUCUCUUGCUGCAUGUUGGUGGUUGGAAAGUUUCGGCUGUUGUGGAUGGACUCGCGGCUUAUCCGCUUGUUGGUGGGGUAGUGGCUUACCAGGGCUUUGACGGGUAGCAUGCCUGAGAGGGUGAACGGGGACAAUAGGACUGAGAUAGGGCCCAGAAUGCUACGGGAGGCAGCAGGGGGAAGUAUUACGCAAUGAGCGGAAGCGAGAUGCAGAGACGCCGCGAGCGGGAUGACGGGCUACGGGUUAAAAACCGAUUUGGAAUGAGACGAAGCGUGAGUGACGGUAAUGAGUAAAGAAGCAACGGCUAACUACGUG